GACGAACGCUGGCGGCGUGCCUAAUACAUGCAAGUAGAACGCUGAAGAGAGGAGCUUGCUCUUCUUGGAUGAGUUGCGAACGGGUGAGUAACGCGUAGGUAACCUGCCUUGUAGCGGGGGAUAACUAUUGGAAACGAUAGCUAAUACCGCAUAACAAUGGAUGACACAUGUCAUUUAUUUGAAAGGGGCAAUUGCUCCACUACAAGAUGGACCUGCGUUGUAUUAGCUAGUAGGUGAGGUAAUGGCUCACCUAGGCGACGAUACAUAGCCGACCUGAGAGGGUGAUCGGCCACACUGGGACUGAGACACGGCCCAGACUCCUACGGGAGGCAGCAGUAGGGAAUCUUCGGCAAGGGGGGCAACCCUGACCGAGCAACGCCGCGGGAGUGAAGAAGGUUUUCGGAUCGUAAAGCUCUGUUGUAAGUCAAGAACGGGUGUGAGAGUGGAAAGUUCACACUGUGACGGUAGCUUACCAGAAAGGGACGGCUAACUACGUG
This 497-nucleotide ribosomal RNA is filed under the name uncultured bacterium. Its description in RNAcentral is "partial 16S ribosomal RNA". It matches the Rfam family "Bacterial small subunit ribosomal RNA", at positions 28 to 507 of the family's 1533-position model. The record is from RNAcentral.